AAUCAACGCUGGCGGCGCGCCUAACACAUGCAAGUCGAACGAGAAAGCAGGAGCAAUCUUGUGAGUAAAGUGGCGUACGGGUGAGUAACACGUGGAUUAUCUACCCUCUUGUGGGGGAUAACUCUGGGAAACCGGAGCUAAUACCGCAUAAGCUCGAGAGAGGAAAGCAGCAAUGCGCAGGAGGAGGAGUCCGCGGCCGAUUAGCUAGUUGGUAGGGUAAAAGCCUACCAAGGCUGAGAUCGGUAGCCGGCCUGAGAGGGCACACGGCCA
RNAcentral lists this ribosomal RNA (270 nucleotides) under uncultured bacterium. RNAcentral's name for it is "partial 16S ribosomal RNA". It matches the Rfam family "Bacterial small subunit ribosomal RNA", at positions 32 to 310 of the family's 1533-position model. The record is from RNAcentral.